UCCGGUUUGUCACCGGCAGUCUCGCAUGAGUCCCCAACUAAAUGCUGGCAACAUACGACGGGGGUUGCGCUCGUUGCGGGACUUAACCCAACAUCUCACGACACGAGCUGACGACAGCCAUGCAGCACCUGUGCAAGCUCCCCUUGCGGGGUCGUCCCACUUUCAUGGUUCUACCACUUGCAUGUCAAGGCCAGGUAAGGUGGGGAUGACGUGUCGUUACCUUA
RNAcentral lists this unclassified non-coding RNA (224 nucleotides) under uncultured bacterium. RNAcentral describes it as "contains 16S-23S intergenic spacer region". The record is from RNAcentral.